RNAcentral lists this ribosomal RNA (117 nucleotides) under Pirellulaceae bacterium. Lineage: Bacteria; Pseudomonadati; Planctomycetota; Planctomycetia; Pirellulales; Pirellulaceae. The record is from RNAcentral.
UCCGGUGGUCAUUGCGAGAGGGCCACACCCGAUCCCAUCCCGAACUCGGAAGUUAAGCCUCUCAGCGCCGAUGGUACUGCAUGAUAUUUUGUGUGGGAGAGUAGGUCGCCGCCGGAG